RNAcentral lists this ribosomal RNA (409 nucleotides) under Hemiselmis rufescens. RNAcentral's name for it is "partial Eukaryotic large subunit ribosomal RNA". It matches the Rfam family "Eukaryotic large subunit ribosomal RNA", at positions 369 to 678 of the family's 3401-position model. The record is from RNAcentral. Lineage: Eukaryota; Cryptophyceae; Cryptomonadales; Hemiselmidaceae.
AAGAACUUUGAAAAGAGAGUGAAAUAGUGCUUGAAACCGUUGGGAGGAAAGCGAAUGGAGCUACUAAAUAGACCAAGAAUUCUCAAACCGGCCAAAAAAAAAUAAAAAAAAAAAAUUUUUUUUUUUUUUUUUUUUUUUAAAGGAAUCCGUUGUAGUGAUCUUGGAUCUACGUUUGCAAAAACUUUUUAUCCUGGCGGUUCAUAACUUUAGAGUUAAUCUAUAUGAUAUUUUGUACUAUUUUAAUAGUCGAACUUUAUGUAGAAAUAAAUCUAUCGUAAUGUGACCAGAGACAAAGGUGGAAGCAGCUUACAAUGAAAUAAUUUGAUGGGCUAUAAAAUUUUUUUUUAAAAAAAAAGCAGACGGAAGGGCUUUAUUCGACCCGUCUUGUAACACGGACCAAGGAGUCCAG